GUUCAUCUAAUUGUGCCCUUGCUAGGGCUAUCUCUGUUGCCUUAUAGUACUUCUCUACACUCUUCCCUCCUUUGCAACCUUUGGUGGAGUUCCCUAAAGUAGUGUUGGGGAACAAAUCUCUCCCUCAUUGCUUCUUUCAUAGCCUCUCAAGAAGCAAUGGGUCUAAGACGCAAAAUUCUUCUCCUAACCAUCAACUGGUCCCACCACACUAUAGCAUACUCCUUAAACUCUAUGGCUUUAAGCUUCACCUUCUUUUCCCCACUAUAGUUAUGACACUAAAAAAUUAGCUCAACUUGCCUUUUCCACUCCAUGUAGGCAUCCAUAUUCUCCUUCCCAUGAAAGGGAGAAAUUUUCAUCUUAAUGCUACCCACAUUAGUGUCUAUCCUCUCUUCUUGGUCUCCAUAUCCAUAAUCACCAUAUCUAUACUCCCCAAUUCUUGGCAUCCUACCUCCUCUUAUACCUCUAGUUUCCCUUACCCUAGGUGGUCUAUAACCCCUACCACCAUAGCUGUAGUUCCCAUACUCAAAUUCUUCUUCUAUCUCUUCCUCAAACUCUUCCUCAACAUGCUCUUCACCCUCAAGGUUCUCCACUCUUGGUUCCCCUAUAUUUCUCUCUUUCUUGCCUUCUGUCCCUAAUACCAUCUCUACCCUUGCUCUCUCUUCCCUUGUCAUCCCUCAAUGUAUUCAUGUCCAAGGUCAACCUCUCAAAUUGUGCAGCAACGGCGUCCCUAUACAUAGCUUCAUCAACUAGGACUCUCUCCCCAGUACUACCGAUUUCAUUUGACAUGAUUUUGAGCUACAAGAAAACAAGUUAGUAAGAAAUGGCUAACCCUCUCAAGGUGUUUCACACAAAUAGAUGGCUUUUACCCUCUAAUGCACUCACA
RNAcentral lists this unclassified non-coding RNA (883 nucleotides) under Hevea brasiliensis (rubber tree). Lineage: Eukaryota; Viridiplantae; Streptophyta; Magnoliopsida; Malpighiales; Euphorbiaceae. The record is from RNAcentral.